RNAcentral lists this transfer RNA (85 nucleotides) under Anaeroplasmataceae bacterium. RNAcentral's name for it is "tRNA-Leu". It matches the Rfam family "tRNA". From Rfam's summary of the family: Transfer RNA (tRNA) molecules are approximately 80 nucleotides in length. Their secondary structure includes four short double-helical elements and three loops (D, anti-codon, and T loops). Lineage: Bacteria; Bacillati; Mycoplasmatota; Mollicutes; Anaeroplasmatales; Anaeroplasmataceae. The record is from RNAcentral.
GGGGGAGUGAUGAAAUGGUAGACAUAGUUGACUCAAAAUCAACCGCCCUAAAAGCGUGUGGGUUCGACUCCCAUCUCCCCUACCA